UGGUUACAGAAUCCCGCUAUAAAAGUAAGCAAGUUUUUGUAAUAUCAAUGCAAUAAUGGCACUGCUGUUUUGUCUGUCUGGUAAACUAAUUAUUACUAGUUGUUUUUGUUGGAUUAUGAAAUUGCGAGGCACCCACUUUGAACGGAGCUUCGGCCUCUUUAAAGCACCAUUGUCCUCGGUGCUCAUUUCGCCUAUUUUCAGCUUAGCUAAUAUCUUUUCAACGGUGGAUUUCCUUCAGCCCAAAUUCAACAGUGUUUUCCCCCAAAAAGUAAUGCUUUAUUAACACACGAAAUGCUUUAUGAUCCAUUUUUUUGCAAACUAACACAACUUGUUUCUCAAAAAUGCUAUAUCUCAUUAACUAAUAGUUAUAAUCCUACUAUAGAAACCACAUAGAUGGUAGUAGUAGUAUUAUCUAUGUAUCAGCCACAGUGAAGCUUGGACAGGUCCUCUAGUAUGAUAUAAUAUCACAAAAAUGCACUAGACCUUAAUGCCAAAUGCACAUGGCACGGCAAAUUACCUCCAGAUUUUUUAUUACGCAUACCGAGAAACAGUAGGUUUCCAAACCAUCAAAACUAGAGAUUUUGCCAUAGGCCGCGUGAAGAUUCUCACUACUUUUCCCCUCACACGUACUUAUACGUGUGAUCAUACAUCUCUGUUGCGAUCAUUUUGAAGUGUCAUAUAAAAAAGUAUAUCUGACCUGCUCUAAUAUCCCCAAUCGACAGCCGAUAAAUAGAUUAAUUAUAUAAAUAUGCACCCCUAUCAUGCAUUUCGAUUACGUUCCCGCUCUACGCUCCGCCGGAGUCGAAAUUAGGUAUCAUGCGUUACGAUUGGAUUGAAAGAAGAAGAGGAAGAGCUAUAACUCUUUCGAAAUCAGCUGUUUGCUUUGAAAUAUGUGAAACUGGAACAUAACAAAGCAAAAAUACACAAAUUACUGCUGUUCAAAGAAAAUAGAUAAAAGUAAAAUUUUUAUAUUGUUAUUAUUUUUAUUAAACGUAACUAUGGAAUCUUUAUCCGCGGCGAUAUUACUGGUUGAGGAGGAGAGCAGCGCAUCUCAGAAUGCUGGGGUGAGAAUUGAAAGGAGAAGAUUACGAGAUAUGUGCGAUCCCUUCCAGAUGAAUGAUGGGCUAUUCAGAAAAACUUUCGUCUGAAUAAGGACGAAUGUCCUAGAUACGUUUGCGGAAGAAACGACGGCAAGUAAAUUUGAUGCUACCUCUUUCCAAAAAGCCUGCACAUCUUCCUUAGGACGCUGGUGGAAACCGUUGGCUAUAUCUAGCUUACUCUCCAUCAUAUCUGCCAAUUUUCCAUAUUGCUCUGGUGUUGUUGUU
Long non-coding RNA from Bactrocera dorsalis (oriental fruit fly), 1325 nucleotides. RefSeq lists it as uncharacterized. NCBI's taxonomy places the organism in Eukaryota, Metazoa, Arthropoda, Insecta, Diptera, Tephritidae. The record is from RefSeq and is a predicted model, not a curated record. The transcript has 2 exons.